CCCGCAACGAGCGCAACCCUUGAUCUUAGUUGCCAGCAUUCAGUUGGGCACUCUAAGAUGACUGCCGGUGACAAACCGGAGGAAGGUGGGGAUGACGUCAAAUCAUCAUGCCCCUUAUGACCUGGGCUACACACGUGCUACAAUGGACGGUACAAAGGGCAGCGAGACCGCGAGGUUUAGCCAAUCCCAUAAAACCGUUCUCAGUUCGGAUUGUAGGCUGCAACUCGCCUACAUGAAGCUGGAAUCGCUAGUAAUCGCGGAUCAGCAUGCCGCGGUGAAUACGUU
This 285-nucleotide ribosomal RNA is filed under the name Bacillus sp. July_NA5A5. RNAcentral describes it as "partial 16S ribosomal RNA". It matches the Rfam family "Bacterial small subunit ribosomal RNA", at positions 1086 to 1372 of the family's 1533-position model. Lineage: Bacteria; Bacillati; Bacillota; Bacilli; Caryophanales; Bacillaceae. The record is from RNAcentral.